This 22-nucleotide transfer RNA is filed under the name Triticum monococcum (einkorn wheat). RNAcentral describes it as "partial tRNA-Thr". The record is from RNAcentral. Lineage: Eukaryota; Viridiplantae; Streptophyta; Magnoliopsida; Poales; Poaceae.
GGUUCAAAUCCGAUAAAGGGCU